This 69-nucleotide transfer RNA is filed under the name Dolichopteryx minuscula (small spookfish). RNAcentral describes it as "tRNA-His". It matches the Rfam family "tRNA". Rfam says of the family: Transfer RNA (tRNA) molecules are approximately 80 nucleotides in length. Their secondary structure includes four short double-helical elements and three loops (D, anti-codon, and T loops). Lineage: Eukaryota; Metazoa; Chordata; Actinopteri; Argentiniformes; Opisthoproctidae. The record is from RNAcentral.
GUGAUUAUAGUUUAACCAAAACAUUAGAUUGUGAUUCUAAAAAUAGAGGUUAAAACCCUUUUACUUACC